CUGCGUAAUACGGGUGAUUGUGUAAACAGCAUUGUGUGCGUUCCUGACUAAAAUUGUCGGAGCAAGAAAGAGCUGGGUUAAGCAGAAUCUGUAUUCAGAAGUCACGUGAGCACCUGAGAAGUGGAGAGCAGGCUGACGGAGGCGGCAGGCGUGAAGAAAAGGUCCUCGGGACGCAGCACGCCCGCGUACACGGACCAGUCUGCAGCGGUGGCGGUCCUAGGAGGAGACAGAGGUGAGGCGCACUUCCAUCAGAGGAGCACCCAGCGCGUCUGUGAGGACUCACAUGAGCGCACAGUGCGCCGCCGUGACGAUCCACCAGGGGGAUAUGACGGCUCCUCCGCAGCGAUGGGUGCCGGCCACCUGCAAACUCACCUGCCAGGGCCACGCCCCCAACGAGGCCUGCUGACUUCCAGAAAGCUGGCUGGAGUUGACUCCUGCACAAGCUG
This is a long non-coding RNA of Nerophis ophidion (straightnose pipefish), 446 nucleotides long. RefSeq lists it as uncharacterized. NCBI's taxonomy places the organism in Eukaryota, Metazoa, Chordata, Actinopteri, Syngnathiformes, Syngnathidae. The record is from RefSeq and is a predicted model, not a curated record. The transcript is spliced from 3 exons.